RNAcentral lists this ribosomal RNA (450 nucleotides) under uncultured bacterium. Its description in RNAcentral is "bacterial SSU rRNA". It matches the Rfam family "Bacterial small subunit ribosomal RNA", at positions 29 to 521 of the family's 1533-position model. The record is from RNAcentral.
AGCGAACGCUGGCGGCAGGCCUAACACAUGCAAGUCGAGCGCCCGUAGCAAUACGGGAGCGGCAGACGGGAUAGUAACACGUGGGAACGUACCCUUCAGUUCGGAACAACCCAGGGAAACUUGGGCUAAUACCGAAUACGUCCGUAAGGAGAAAGAUUUAUCGCUGAAGGAUCGGCCCGCGUCUGAUUAGCUAGUUGGUGAGGUAACGGCUCACCAAGGCGACGAUCAGUAGCUGGCUGAGAGGAUGAUCAGCAUCACUGGGACUGAGACACGGCCCAGACUCCUACGGGAGGCAGCAGUGGGGAAUAUUGGACAAUGGGCGCAAGCCUGAUCCAGCCAUGCCGCGUGGAUGAUGAAGGCCCUAGGGUUGUAAAAGUCCUUUCGGCGGGGGAAGAUAAUGACGGUACCCGCAGAAGAAGCCCCGGCUAACUUCGUGCCAGCAGCCGCAGU